UGGGGGAAUCUUCCGCAAUGGGCGAAAGCCUGACGGAGCAACGCCGCGUGAGUGAAGAAGGUCUUCGGAUCGUAAAGCUCUGUUGAGAGGGACGAGAGAUUACUUCAGGAAAUGGGAGUAAGAGGACGGUACCUUUCGAGGAAGCCACGGCUAACUACGUGCCAGCAGCCGCGGUAAUACGUAGGUGGCGAGCGUUGUCCGGAAUUAUUGGGCGUAAAGGGAGCGCAGGUGGGACUUCAAGUCAGUCUUAAAAGUGCGGGGCUCAACCCCGUGAUGGGAUUGAAACUGUAGUUCUUGAGUGCAGGAGAGGAAAGCGGAAUUCCUAGUGUAGCGGUGAAAUGCGUAGAUAUUAGGAGGAACACCAGUGGCGAAGGCGGCUUGCUGGACGACAACUGACGCUGAGGCUCGAAAGCGUGGGGAGCAAACAGGAUUAGAUACCCUGGUAGU
This 447-nucleotide ribosomal RNA is filed under the name uncultured Selenomonas sp. RNAcentral describes it as "bacterial SSU rRNA". It matches the Rfam family "Bacterial small subunit ribosomal RNA", at positions 354 to 794 of the family's 1533-position model. The record is from RNAcentral. Lineage: Bacteria; Bacillati; Bacillota; Negativicutes; Selenomonadales; Selenomonadaceae.